UACAUCCCUGCAGUCUGGAGGUCACAGCGUGGGCACGGAAUCUCCAAAUCUGUCAAUGAAAUCAUGGGGUUUCACAAAUGACAGUGAUUAUUGCCGGAGCCAACACUGGAACUUCUUCUUGGCUGCUAACUUCAUCAAUGUUGGUAAGUCAGUACAGCUAAGACCAAAAAGAUAUAUAUCAAGAAGCAAUUGCUGUGGUGCUGUUUUUUUUUUUUUACUUUAUUCAUUACACAGUGAACUUUCUGUCCUUGCUUGGUAUAAUGACAUCUAGUUGCUCAAUGAGUUAUACACUCUGCUUUUAAUUCAGCUUGUGGUUAGCAUUAUUUAGUGUCAGUUUCAUACACAGAGGUAAAAGGAUUCAAAGGAGAACUGUUGUUUACACUGUUGUGGUUGAAACCUGAUUGAUCGUCAUAAUAUCUCAGUAUUCUGUGCCAUUUCUAAGAAAAGUCUACUGUCUAUUUGAAGCUUGAGCCUGUACAGACACCCACACUCAUAUUGUCUUCAAAACCUUUUAAUGUUUAUGACUCACAGAUAUUCGUAAUAACCCUAAUGAAGAUCUCUGGCUAAUGUCACAUUUAAUCUCAUAGAUGAUAACUAUACAAGCAGUUACAGAGGGCAGUUAUUGUUAAUGACUUUGUUGACAUUCUGUUACAAAUGCCUGUCAGACAAGGUAUCCUGGUUUUCAGACCUGCUGUAUAUGCAAAAAUGUGUUGCUGUGGUGUGUCAGACUAGAUGGAUUCAGAUUGCGUGUUCUUUACUUCUUUACGCCACACAAAUUCAUCCAUGCGGAGUUAAGAAAAUUAUUUUCUUUUGUAUACAUAGUAGGUUGUGGUAAAGGUGAUAACUGAUGACCCUCAAUCCCCUGACCACUCAAAACAAAAGAUUUUCCUAGUUAAUUAGUCGAAUUGUGUCUUUGCAGUAAUGAUAUUUUUUACAGACUAUUUACAGAAAUCUGGAACUUUCUGGCACUAGUUGUGGCAGCACUGCAGAGGCAAGGACUUGAAAGGUUGUGUGCUCAUGUACUCUCUUUGCAAACUUCAGUAAGAUUCUUUGAAGGUCAUUUUGUGUGAUGUUUGAUGACGAGUGCAGGGUAAAUUCCACUGUACUUACAUAAAAUGACAGAUUUUUAUGGAAUGUUCCAUAAAUAGGAUGUAACCUUGGGGAUUUGUGUGCCUCUGUGCUAGCAAUAUGUUAUUGCAAUUCAAAUACACAUUCAAGGCAGUGCCACAGACUACAUCCUGUAGUUUGAAUAGUAAUACUGAAGCAGUCUUUGCAGUAUUAUAGUACUUUGUAAAUUAAAGACUGAAAGAGAAAGAAUGCAGCACCAGAAAGUGUCUGAGAAUAACAGCUAGUUAGGUGUAUCAAUCAUAAUUUGUAUUCAUGCAGCAAUUUCAAGCUUGUGGAUGUAAGAAUUUCACUCUCUUGUUAAAAAAAAUAUUAUUGCAAGCUACUUGUGGAACAAAAAUCAUGAGCUGUGCUGUGCUCUUCUCCAAUGUACAGAUUUAUCUCAUGGCUGCAAAUGCCAAAUCAAGACAAUCCCAACGUCAUAAUGCAGUAGUAUGCCUAAAUAGUAAUAACACCAAUGGUGAAUUGACAAACUGUAUAGUAUUUAUAGUUUGUCAGUACACCAUUGGUAUCAUUACCAAUGACACCAAUGGCAAACUGUAUACUAUGUUAGCAUACAAAUGAAAUAGUAUGUCAACAUGUAUGGGAUGCAGCCCAAGCAUUUAUGAGGAUAUAACUAAAUACAGAAGCAUAAUGAGAAAGCUGCUGUGUAGGCCAUAUGGGUCUGGCUUUCAGACAGUGUAUUAUUAUCAUCAACACUGCUUAUAAUUAUUAUUAUUAUGUGUGUUAUUAUCUAAUUUGCCUAUUUUGUUCUCCAACCUGUCAAAAAAUGUUAGCUAUGAGCUGGAUAGCGUUAGCACACCAGUCAAAAUACAGCGCAAUAAAUUACACACUGAGGGUCAGCACCCACCAAGUUUGAAAUAUAAAAAUACAAUGAAACACACACAUCCUGUUCUCCUGUAUCAUGGGUUCUCUAGAUUCUAGAUUCUACAGAGUUCUCAACUUCACAACUGGGUAAAAAUAUGAACACCACAAAACGGAUAAAUCGGUUGAGUAUCAUCUAUCAUUCACUAGCUUCCCUCUAUGUUAGAGAACAAAUACAUGCCUUAGCUGUUCAGCUGGAAAAAUAGAAAACUCCAUCCUGAAUCAGUCGUGAAUCAUCCUGAAACAUCUUUUUCCGCUGAAUGUAGUAUGUGAUAAUGGAUGACAUAUAUGUGAUGGUGUAUUAUUAGAACAACCUGAAAUUCAGACACAAACUUUGAACUCUGUGUUAUCAGGUAAUAAUAUUAUUAUUAUUUUUUAAUCUGUAUAGCACACUAGCUUAUUAUUUAUGUCUUACCUCCAAUCUUACAAACGGUUUUGGAUCAACAUCACUCCUCGCCUGAUUUCAUUCAGUGCAUCAUUUUCUGCACAAUGUGCAGCAUGAGUUACAAUGUUACAUGGCUUCAGUUCAGAAACAAGGCAAAUUAAACAUACUCUAAGCCAGUAUUUUUCAAAGGGGGACAUAUGUGGCUUUAGGGGUAGUUGGAGGUACUAUAAAGAGUACUUUUCAGAAAAGGAAAAUUGAUAAAAUUUGCAUUAGACAGAUAAUCAAGCCUGUUUGUGGUUGAGAAAAGCAGCUUCGCUAGCUAACCUAGACUAGGCAUGGGCAUUUAGCAAGCUAGCAUGUCUAUGCAUUUUUAAAACAGGCAUUUUCUAAUUCUACUGACAAUAUAUAAUAUUGAAUUUGGACUUAUUUUGAUAAUAAUAACCUCCAAUAAGGUUUUGGGGUUGGAACACUGGGAUGGAAACAAUAAAAUAUUGGUUCUGCUCAGAGUGAAUUGUUUCUGAGCCCUGAUUAAUCCACCGACUCAUUAUCUGUGUUUUUUUUCUGAUGUUUAUUUAAAAAAAUCAUAUUGCAGCUUUGACUUAAUAAAUGUUUUCAUUUUUUUUAAUAGAAGGCUUUGUGUUUACAGAAAUUUGGUGCGACAACUAUUUGUGCCUGCUGUAUCUGGAUCCUAAUAUUGUAAUAGAAAUUAUAAUGGAAUGCGCCAUAUCAAUAAUUUCUGGUCCUAUAUCUUCUGUGUGGGGAAAAAAACUACAUUCAUAAUGUGACAUUUUGGGCUGGCUUCAUGCUGCACAUUAGUACAUUCUAAUACGGUUUAUCACCACACAAAGAGAUCUUCUAAUCUCCCAUCUGCUGUGCUGGCGGCCUUUCCUGUUUGAUUUCAGAGCCAUAACUGAAUGACUUCAAACUUGCUUUAAUCCGACCCACAGCAUGCCCCAACAGCCCUUGAUCAGGCGUGGCUGAAAGACAAGCUGCGGCUUUGUCCAAAACUACAUCCUACAUGCUAUCGUCAUGUCAGCAGUGUCAUAAUUAUGAUUCAUCCACACCAAUGAACUUUCUUUUAUAAACACUGAGUAAGUGAUGUACUGUUAGGAAUUCAUUAUCAGUCUCUUAAAAGGAAGCAACAGCUACACAAAUACAAUGUAUUUGAUGUCUUAUCAUUUCCUAAGUGUACAACUAAAUGCAUACCAAGUCAUAGUUAUAAUUUCUGAUGCUUGUAAGGGGCAGAAAAUACAAUAUGCCCCUGUUAUGGGUUUAUUGUUAGUGUUUGAGUAAGUAGCAGAUUAUGGGCACAUAUGUCAUGACUUGAAUACUUGCUGCAUGAUGCUAUAUUCAUUCUGUGAAUUUUUGGAUUUACUAUUAAAGAUGUGGCACAAUUGUGGUAUCCUGUUUAGUACAGUAAUAAGUACCUUUGUUUCUGUGUUUGUGAAAAGCACAGGGCUCAUUUACCUGUACCUGCCAAGGGAAUAAUUACAGCCCAUCUGUUUGUUACACACUUGUAGAGACCCUGAGACAUUGCUGUUAGGAAACAGCCUGUGGCUGAAUCCCAAAUGGUUCCCUACUGGACCUAAAGUGCACUACACUGGAUAUUAAAGUAACAGAAGCUGCUUCAUCUCUGAAGUAAUGCAAUAAUAUGCUGAGUUGGGCACCACCUGGGAUUUGCUUACUUGAAAUUUUGGUGUGGGUGUGGUCAAGGUUGGGAAAAGGGCUAUGAUUGGGUUAAGGGAAGCCAUAUAAGGUUCAGAAAAUGGUAAACAGUUGUCUAGACAAUCCAUUUAGAGGCGUCUGUGUGCCGAGUUGCUAUCAACGAAGCAGUUCGCUGGGGAGUUAAUGUGCUUUGAGAAACUGUUUCACACCUUUUAGUGCAGCUUUGCCUCCAGUAGAAAGACUGUGAGUCUACACCUUAUCUGCUUUGUGAAUUAUACAGCCUGGGAAUAAAUAUACUAUUCUCUAACUGUGUAUCUAUAGAAACCUCAUUUCAAGCACAAUUUUAUCUGCUUGUUUAAAAAACUGUUUCUUAAAGUGGGGUCAAUGAAGCAUAUCUAGCAGUUCCAUGAUUUUGUUAAUGUAGUUACAGUGGUGGAAAUGACAGCCCACCUUUAUCAAUGCUAUUAUAUUUGUUAAAGAGUUAUAGUUAUGUUGCUUUUUGACUGGUUACUUGAAUUGAAUGGGGUUUAAUCCAAACCUCCUGUAAAUAAUGUCAACUUUGACCUAAUGUGUUCUGUUGGUGGAAAGCUCAGGAAUAGAAAGCUCUACAGAUCUAAUAAAUAGGCAAACUAGUAUUGUACACUUUUAAAUAAUGCUCCUGAAAUAAAUAUGUACUGUGGAAUUUAUUUUAUAGUUAAAGGGAUCCCUGGUUACAAAAAAAAUUGAGAAUCCCUGGUUUGAUGUGAUGAAGCUCAUCAGUUCCCAGUAGAGGGCAGAAUUUGUUUCGUUUCCUGCACAGUGCAGUUUUUCACCGUUAUGAUUACUAAACAAUGAUGAGAUUAAUAUCAUUCAUUAUAGAACAUAGGAAGAUAUGAUCACAGUUGAAUUGCUUCAGGCAUUAGUCUUGAGCAGAGUUACUCUCAAUAGCAGCCACUUAUUUGAAAAUGUUCACAUUGGAAGCUUGCUGAUUCUUUUCUCUUUCAUGCAUCCCAUUGAUAAUCCAUUGUGUGUGUGUGUGUGUGUGUGUGUGUGCGCUUGUGUGUUUUACAUCUUGGUGGCGACCAAAUUUUUAUUGGGACCUAACAGUUUUGACUUUAUGGGAACAUUUGGCUGGUCCCCACAAGGAAAACUGUCAAUGGAAGGUUUGUGUGUGUGAGUGUGUGUGUGUGUGUGUGUGUGUGUGUAGCAGAAUGUGCUGUGAGACUGUACAGAAUAUUACUCCUCCUCAAUUAGUACUGUAGCUUUCAGUAGGUCAUUAGAUAGGCACUAAUUUAGAAUAAAUUGUAAUAAAAGCCAGUUUUUAUUGACAUAUUUAUGCAUUUAUUGCACAUAUAGUCCGUUAGAUAAUCCAAAUAUUCCACAUAUACUUUCAAUGACACUCAUUAUACAGUAGUUAUUUUUUCUAAAUAGGGCAGCGAUCCUUACGUGAGGAAUCAAAGCUUUGAAGCUAUUAAAAUAUACACAGAUUUCACUUUUUUUAUUUUUAUUUUUUUAUUUUUUUACCUUUUUCUCCCCAAGACAAAAAGAGCAAAUGAAGAAUAAUUUGCAUGUCUUCCAGGGGGAUUUUGAAACCAUUAGACUACACCUCAUUCUUUCAUCUCCCUGCACAUCUGUUUGCUCCUGCUGCAAUACCCUUGCACUUUUUUCUUUAUUACUCUGGGAAACAAUGUGGAGCAUCUGCUUCUAGAAAUAUAAUAAAAAAAAUCUUUGACAGUUGUUCACGCCCAGGAGAAUUGAAACAAUCUCUGUUCUAAAAUAAUAUGUCUAAUUUUUCUCCUCAUCCAAAGUUAGCUGGCUUUAUGUCCCAGAGGCCUGGAUUUUUAUCCAAAUAAAGCUCCUGUGGUGCUGGACAUUCUUGUGUUAAUAACUUAUUUCACAAAGCUGUCAUGCCCUUGACCAUUCCUUCUCUCAUGUAAUAACUUACAUAGUCCCACUUAGGGGUACAACUAACUUUAUCCAGGGGCAAAAGAGAGGGAUUGGACAUCUCAAAAUUGGGACACAGCUAUUUCCAUCCAAGGUUUAAUACUAUAUUUUGCCCUUGCAUGUGUAGGAAGACUAUUUAUUUUAGCAUGAAGAAACAAAGAACAAGUAGGUAUAGCAAAAAUAGUCCACACGUCAUCACAUUUUUAUAAUUUUUCAAUAUGCCUGUGUAUUCUUUAAUUGCACUGUUAUUCCUCAGAUAUCAGAAGGAGACAAAGUGAACUAUAUUAUAAAUGAAAAGUCUCUGCUUCAAGCUGUUAUACUUGGGUCUGUGAGACAGAAGUGUGCUUUCUUCCUCAAAAAUAUUGAGUAUAGGAAUGUGGAAUGCUUUCUGAAGUAACUGGCUUUCAUGCUGUUGCACAUCAUUUCCAUCUCCACUGACACCAGCUAGAUGAAAUGUCUAUUAUAUUGUUUUUAGUGCUUAUAGCUAAUUUCUAAUUUGUUUCAAUCAAGAGCAGCACGAUCCAGUUCUGAAUGUUUAUGUACCGUUUAAUUUAGAGUCCACAAUCUGAAAAUGCUUUAUACAUUAAAAAAUAUUAGACUACAGUAUGAUAAAAACAUAUUAAUCAAUCAGUUUGCAUGCAUGUGUGUAGUGAAUUAAAUCUAAGUCUAUGAAAGGUACUACAAAUCAUAAAAUAAGAUAAAAGACAUAAUAAUUAUGAAUAGGCCUGAAUGAUAUGGAUUUACAUUUAUCAUUGCUGACAUUCUCUGUAUCAUUAUUCCACAGUUUUGAGGUGAAAUACUGGUAUUUCAGCAUAGUGGUAUUGGUUGAGUGUUACUGUAAUACGUGCUCUCCUCUGAAUCGUGAACAGUCCACAUAAUAAAACUUUCAGUCUCACUCUCUCCAUCCAUCACCUUGGGCUGCUACAAUAUUGAACCAAAUCUCUAGGCUUCGUUUGUUAGAAAUUCUGAAAAAGUCCAGCUAAAAGUAAUAAAACAAUGGGUUUUAAUAAUGAACAGCUGUGCCAAAUCGCAAAAUAAACAAUAGUAGUAAUAAUAAAACCAUAUGUCUUUAUUAUCAGUUGCCAGUUUCAGUUUUUGAUUCUAAUGAUAUUAAUCCAGAAGCCUUAGUGAACUGUCCGCUCUACACCACUUAUAGAGAGCAGAGCCUUCCCAAUAUUUACAUAAUCUUGACCAAAAAAAAACCAUAAUCCGGUAGAGAUGUUGGCUUAUUUAAGGGUUAGUGGUGUGUUGAGGCAAUAUCAUGAGUCAGAACAUCAUCUGAUAUAUGACUAUUGACUGGUUUAGAGCAUCUUAUAAAACAUCUACAGCAGCGCUCUAAAAAAAAAAGGAAAAUCAAUAUGAUGAUUUUUAAUAUGAAGAGCUAGAAAUGGAAUUGGCUUGCUCAUGCUUCAUACUUAAGCAUCAAUAUACAGUACAUUUCAGCAAAUUGUUUAAUCAGUUGCACCUAAAUAUGGUUUAGCAAGUACAACUUAGCAAGUACGACGUUCUCUUAGAAGCAUGGUUCAUUUUUUGGCUUUGUUAAUUGAUUUUUUUCUUCACAAUUCCCAGUGAUACAUAUGCUGAAAAAGCCCGACGUGUUAAGACUUACAAGAGAUUCCACAAUAAUGGGUGUGAAUAUAUUUCACUCUAUUGUGGACGCCUGUCUGUGUGUUCUGUUUUUCUUACUUGCACACUGAUGAGCGCUGGGAAACGGAAAGACCCAAAUCGUUAUGUCUUAUCAGUGAACGCAGAUGUUGCUGUAAAUAUGUCCUUGGUUAGUGUGCAGCUUGUGGUCUCAGCAGGCCUUAAUGUUGCAUUUAGGUUCCUAUCAGAGAGCCUGAUCAAUGUAAUGUGAGCAGUCAUGAGUGUAAAUUCACGGCCAUUUUGCUCUGAAACUGUAAGCGUCGACUGGUUAUUCGCCACAGAGGUGCUAGCGCACACUGAAUCCAAGAUGCUCUGCUCACAGUUAUUGGCUGUGAGCAUCCAAAUCCCCACUCAACACUGAACUAUGUUUUUAGUUGACUCAUAGAUGGGUUCUGUAAUGGGAUGCUAUUGACAGAUUUAUGAUGGAAUAUUCUCUCUAGGUGCUAAGGUAAAUUACUGAGACACACAUCGUAAGGAAUUUGCAAGUUGAGCAAAAAAACACAUAAAAGAUUCUUCUUACUCAUCUUUCUCACCUUAUUUUAGAUUUGGGUUAUGCUCACGGAGUAGGGGUUUUGCCAACUUUAAGGCUACAAAAAGCCUAUACAAUACAAUAAAGACAUACAAUAUGCUUUUAAAACAAACUUCUGAAAGCAAACUCACUUUUUAGCACCGGGCUCUAAAGAGUAGUAGCUUCUUAACCUGGUAAAAGAUUUACAAAAUUAAUCAAUAUGUGUGUUUACAUGGCUAUUGAGUUCUGCUAAUUGGGAGCAUGAAGUUGGAGUUUUAACUGUUAUAUUGGCUUUUAUACCACAGUAUUAUUGAACUCUCAAUUCUGAUUGGUCAGAAGGUGUUGAUUAAUUUUCUAUAAUAACAUUUUUUACAACAGUGUCUACAUUAUAGUUUCUAUAAUAACAACUCAUUCAUAUGGCUGUGUAUAGUAGCCAAGGGAGCAAGAAUUGACUGUGCUCUCUCUUAUACUCUUUCUUCCCUGUCAAUCAGAGCAACACUAGCCAAUCGAGCUCAUGUAUGAGGAAGAGGGCAGAUAGCACUUUCCUCUGAGCGUGUUACGCUGCCCUGUGAUGCAGCAUGAGCAGCAGUAUGAAGAAAAUUUUGAAGAAAGUUGGCUAGCUUCAAUGUCUCAGAAGAAGCACCUGUUAGCCUUCAGCCUAACACGAUAAUUAAUUAGAAAGAAUGCAUUAUACAAAUCUGUGAUUUGUCUUGCAGCCAAGCUGUUAUAGAAAAUUCAUUAAUAAACACCUUUUGACCAAUCAGAUUGAGAAUUCAGCAACACUGUGGUAUAAAAAAUAAAAUAAAAAUAAAAAUAAAAAAACAUAAACAAAUAAAAGCAAUCAAAGAACAAAUAAAUUGUCCAGAUUCAUAAAGCUGUCCAUUAAUUGUAUAUUAUUAAAAGCUAUUCUGAAUGAUAAUAUUUAUAGCCUGGAUUUUAAAAUCUUUGUAAUAUCUGAAUUUUGGCCAUUCACUGGUAGAUUGUUUGCGAAAAUUUUUAGGUGCUGAAAUCAAAUGCAGAUUUUCCUGUGUGAAUUUUUUAUCUUUAUUUUUUUACUUUUGACAUCUUUAACAGACUCAUGUCCAGAGAUCUUAAUCAAUAAGAAGGAUUAUAGAAUGUCACUACUUCGCUUAAAUAUAGACAUAUUAGGCCACUAAGCCUUUGUAUUGCUGUGUAUGUUAAAAAAAUGAUUUUACAGGAUUCUAUUGCUUUGCACUAGUCAGAGAGGUAAGAACACUAAUCACACAGCAGUCAGUCAUACUGUGAAUGAUGCAAUUUUACAAGGGCAGGAGGGCUAAUUAGCAAGAGACUGCAGUUUUUACACAGAUCUGAUCGCUGUAAUAAUCAAUGUUUCAUUUUACGUACUGUUGCUGUAGAAGAACAAGGCAUUUAACCCCCAACUGCUCUGCACAACUUAAUCUGUCGAUAAGAAAUUGAAUGUUAAUGUGCCCUGCGGGAAACUGGGAUAUACAAAAGAACUCAUUUGUUCAAUGUUAAAAGAGAAAAUUUUAUGACCAGCCCUUCAGGUGGCCCAUUUUGCAACAACAACAAAAAGAAUUGCUUAAAUAUGAGUGCAACACUUUUAAAACUUGAAACUCAGUUAUAUUGGGAGUCUAAGGGCAGUCGUUAAAAUUUGACUGAACAGCAAAGCCGCAGUUAUGGAUCUUGGAGCAAUGCAUCAUCCAAAGCAAUGGAGCAAUGGAGCAGUACAGUACUCUUUCCUGGAGGUUUUUUGGUAUCUGUGUGCAAUCAGGACAAAACCAAGGCACUUCUCUGUUUACAUGUGUAUGCAUAAUUAAUUAUUUGACUGAAGAAUUAAUGAAAGUGUUUUAAAAAAAAAAGUUUUGUAUAUUGAUACGUUUAGACAAUACAAGCCAGUAUUCAUUCAAUUGAUUAUUUCUUCUUUUCUCAGAAUGAAGAAAUGUGCUGAAAUUCUUCUCACAGUAAUUACACACACAGUAUAGAAUCCAGACCUCACGAUAAGGACUUCCUCGGUUUAAGCAUUAAUAAUUUGUUUGAAAAGCUGCUAUAGAGGGACACUUUAAGAAUUUGUCCUUCUAGUGGGCUGCAUGCCGCAUUUGACUAAAACUCGUAACUUGGAAUUACCGAAUUUGGAAAAAACAAACAAACAAAAUGCCUUUGCAACUUGGAUUUCCUACUCGGACACUCAGGAUGGUCUCCUCAUCCCCGAGUUCAGCAAGUGAUGGCAUAUCAAACAUGACUGCUCACUGCAUCAACAGGAAACAAAGUAGCACUUCUUAUCUUUAAAAGCGUUAUGCAGGUACAAGUAUUUGCUUUAGAUCAAUCAAGAUACAGACAUAUUAGCUUGUUAAAUCUAUGACACUGACUAUACAGUUCACUCUUUUGUGGAGGUAAUUCUGGGCUCUAACUUUCCGCUUCUGAGGUCAGUCGAAUACAGCGAAAGUUCUUGAUUAGACAAAAGAGUAGAUCUGUUCUUCACAUAUAUUUUAAUAGUUUAUGAUAAUGUAAUGGUAAUAAAAUGCAUUUCAAGACAGGGACAAUGAAAGGACCUACAUUUUUUUAAAAAAAAAUAGGAAGCUAUGUGAAUUAUGAUCACACUUAUGCUAUGCUACAUCAAUAUUUGUUCUCUCUUGCACACCUCCUGGUGGAGUGGCAGCCCAUGAAGGAAUAAGCUCCAGGGAUAGACAUCAUAUUUUUUAUAUGAUGCAGAGCAGUGAAGCAGUGUUUAAUUUAGGCAUUCUUCUGUCCUUCUAAACCACUCACUAACUCACUUCAAACAACACAGAGGCUUAAGGCGGACACCGAAUCGCUCAUUUGUCACAGAAAGUGGAACUAGUGCAAAAAGUGAGGUCUAGAAUGAAUUUGUUUUGAACAAAUUUGAUAGACAUGGUGUGGCACUGUAAAGGAUUAUCAGCAAGUAAAACUCAUGUUAUGUAGAAAUAAAAUCUUGUGCCAGUACAUUUGGAGAGAUUUUGUUGUCGUUCAGCUAAUAACCGCAACACCUAUUAAAUAGCUUUUACAAUUAAUCAAGUGAGUCAGGCUCAUAUUGGAUCUGCAUUGCAUAUAAGCUCUGAUAUUGGUGUUGUGAAAUGACAAACUGCAUAGUGUACGUCUAGGAAUAAGUUAGAUAAAAUCUUAUAAAUUCCUGUUCUCUUUUCUAUUAUACUCUCUGAUUAAGGCUGUAAUUACCACAUUUAUAUUUCACUGUCUUUAAUAAAGCCAUCCAUACAGUUACAUAUUUAAACCCUUUAAACAUAUUAUAUUCCAUAUUCCACAUACUAUGUGCACAUCAUUAUCUGUGAGCGUCUUCUAAUAGUCUAACUGGAGUAGUUAUAUUACAUGCAUGUGAUGUGAGUUCUGGUCUCAUUUUUAUAACAGCAGGUUAUUGUAGCUCUUGGAAAUGUGAUUGGAAAGCGUGCUGACUCAGCACACCUAAGUGAGCUUUUCUGGACAGGAGUAAUGACAGCUUAUAUUACUUCUCCCAAGAGACAGUGAUUUAGCUCCAUUUGAGUUUGUUCCCUCCAUUAUUGUUAAUGCUUCUCUCUACUUUUUGCUGACAGAAAAAGGCUUUUUCCAAUAUUAGAUAAAUCACUUUACUGAUUACGUACUGAAAAGACCUAUCAGCAGCACAACAUGGUGAUUAUGAGGCUACAGGACUGACAAGUGAGACAUAUGCAAUAUUUUUAGUUUGUAAUUAUAAUCUAAUUUUUUUUGCAUUGUGGUGAGGACCCUUGGUGGCUUGGAUCCCCUAAGUGACUGUUUAUAACACUAAUCAAUAGAAACAGCCCUGGAUAUACAUAUUAAAGCCUUAAUGUCACACCCGCUCCAUCCCCUGGGAAUUCCAGUUCCCUGAACCUCUCCAGCCACACCCACUUCUGCGAUCUCCUCCACAUUACUAAUCAUUCUAACCUGUAGUCCGUUCCUUCAAUAAGUCUUGUUUCGUUUCUACAUUCAUUGUCAUUUCUCUGUUGCUUUUGUUUUAUCUCUGCAUUUAUUCUCUUGUUUUGCAGUUUUGCUUAUACACUGUAUUGACUCUAUGGGUUUUAUCUUUUUGCUUCCUUUAUGAUUACUUUUUUCCCCGCUGUUUUGGAUUGUCUGCACUUGUUUCAGUAAGCUGUUUACUCAAUUUUUUCCUACAUUUGUUGCCAGUAACUUUGUCGCAGUCUGACACUUAAAAGUGAUGCUUAAAGACUUGCGCUAUUUUUGCAAAUAUUUUUAAUGGUAUUUUUUUAAGACAUGUGACAUGUUUCCUAAUUGUAACUGACUUAUCUUAGUAUAAUUCACUUUUGAUUCAAAAGGUUGUAUUAGAAAACUAACAGGUCACCAUCUGAAUCAUGUACUGUGAUAUACAGUAGCCAGUGAAUAUAUUGCACAUAAUAAGUGCUCUUAUCAUAUAUGUACAUAUUAUUAUGCAAAUGAUCAACUUCAAUAGACAUCAUAGACCUUAUAUGUAUGAAUAUUUAAUGUCCAGGGACACCACGCAUAUGCUCUGCUUUGCAUUUGUCAGGAGAACUAUAAGUGGCAAUUGCCCUGGACAUUUAAUGAGCCAGGGCAAAUACGAGCCAGGCAUUGCCUGCGACUACAAAACAGCCUGAAUUGCUCUAUCUAGGCCAUCAGGGUACACAUUGUUGUUGGCUGAACUGAAUUCGAAGCGCACUUUCUUUUCCUUGGUCCAGCCCAGCAUACCUGCAUUGUUCUGCCAUAAUAGGGACGGCUGGCUUUUGUAGUUCGCCGGGGUCAGAGUGAUUGGAGGAAAGGAGGCAACGCAGACAAGGUGCCUUUUGAAGUGCUGCUAAGCUGGCCACAGGAGAACAGCAAGGUCUCUCUGUCAUUAAACCCCAAACACAAAGUGCAGACAGUGAUGAAGUAGAUCUAGCAGAGCCAUUACCAUAGUGCCAGACACCACUUCGGCACAAAUGUAGUGUCUCUUUUUUACACAUUAUUGCUUUUUAAUAAUUCAUAUUCGCUAAUGCUGUACCAUGGAAACAGAAGAAUCUUUUAAAUCAUUCAGAUGUGUAAAUUGAUUGUAAAAACAUGCUUUUAAAAGUGACUAAAAGUAAUUCCUGACUGUAGAUAAUAUGCUUACAGGAUUAUGUAGGUGAUUCCACAAUUAUGGCGCCAUUUAGUGCUUGGCACACUUAAAAAUGUAACAUUAUUUUUUAAAAAUAAUUUUUCAACACUGAAUCUGAGAUAAAACAUUCAUUCAACCAUUAAAAAUGUAUUAACCCAUCGCAGGCAGCAAACUCAUUUUUAACAAGCAUUUUGCUCUUAAAUGAGUAAUAAGGUUGAGGUUUUAUUUAUUUAUUUAUUUUUGCAUAGAUUUAGCAAAUACCCAAAAAGUGCUUAACGAACACCCAACAUGUGAUUAAUAGCAUGAGAUACUAAUGAUUUAAAAUUAGUUUUAUUAAAUUAAUAAUUUCCAUUUAGAAUUUGGGUAACAGGGAUGUACUUUCAAACUGACUUCAUCAGUCAAGAUCACAAUAUCAUCGAAAAUAAAGAAAACAGAAUGAGAGAAAUUAAUUUUCUUCUUCCCAUGAUCUUUAGAAAAUAUGGAUGAUGCAACUCACUUGUGGAAUAUUUCAAAGGGGUGAACGUGUUCAGGUAACAGGAUUGAAUGAAUGCUGUAGGGCUAAAAUAUACUUUUUUCAUAACCUAUAAUUCACAUAUUAAUGCAAAAAUAACAAUUCUGAAGUAUUUUAAUGCAUAAAUCUCACUGUAAAUAGUUAUAUAGUGGGCUGGAAUGGGCAAAAUACUGUUUUUUAAGUGCUGUAGAUUGGUUUAAUUAAUUUUUUAAGUCAAGUUUAAUGAAACAUGCACAGGUUGAUGUGAAGGAUUUUACAUGUGUUUAAACUGACUAUUUAACGCUUGAGAUUUUAAAAUUUAAAAUUCAGGCAUUUCUGUUAUUAUCAAUGUGCAAGGUCAUGUGCAAGAUUCAUUACCUUCAAGGAUAUAAAUGUCUCAUUCAUUCAUUCAUUCAUUCAUUCAUUUAGUCAGUCAGUCAUCCAUUUCUUAUUUCAAUCACUUCCUCCACUGAAUCAUUCCUUCUUUCCAACACUGUGAAUAAAACACCAACACAGCUGUGCUGCACAGAUUACACUGAGCCAACCUCGGCCAGCUCUGCAUUUAUAUGAAGGAUGAAUAAAUGAUUUCCCCCAGUGUGCUGACUUACAGAGAUCAAGGCUAAUCAAGGCUAAUUUGUGCAAAUGCAUGAAUACAACAACGAAAAUAAACCAGCCAGUACUGCCUCUAGCCUACAUAUUCAUGCUAGAUGCCUGGCGUCCGUAUCCGGGUGCAGACGCAUGUGACUCGUAACCAAGUGAAAAUUUCUGCAGAUUUGCCCAAUACUGACCUCCUUGUGCUGAAUUCUAAAAGAGGCUUGAGAUCAGUCUUGGAGACAGGAGAUAAGGAGUAAGAAGAGCUGAGAUAGCUGUGCUCACAUGCAUUAGAAUUAAUGAGAAGACACGAGGAGUGUGAAAAUAUACCAGCCAUGAUACAUUGCAAUGGCAGUAAUUAGUAAUUUGCAAAAUAAAUAAAUAAGUAAAUAAAAAUAAUGCAUGUAUCACUUUUAUUGAAAUAUGAUACAACAUGAAGAUAUUUACGGAACAUACAAUUUAUUCAUUUUGCUGCUGAACUUGAAGAAUAUAAAAUGGCUGCCUUUUCUCAUCCUUUUAAUUCUAUAAUGUUAGACCGCCUUAAAAUAGUUCCUUAAGGUUUACAUUUCAGGAAGCUAUCUGGGCUAAAAUGGUUGUUUAAUGGUUAUUUAAUAUAUAGUUUAUAUAAACCACAAUGCUGUUUGGUCAGAAGGUGUUGAUUAAUUUUCUUUAACAGCAGCUCUGACAAUAGUUCCUGCUGCAAGGUUUAUAUUAAUGCACUGGUUCUAACAGGUUAUCGUUUCUAUAGUAACCUACAGUACAGGGACUUAUAUGAUGGAUGGUCCACGUGAUACAACUCUAAUAAUAAACUGAUUAAAAAUGUGUCGUUUGUUAUGUAACAAAUAAAAAUGUGCAAUCUGGUGAAAUGAUGAACUUUCUGUAAGGAGAUAUUUAUUUCACAUGUAUGGAAGGAGUCUCCAGUGUCUUUCCACCAUUGGAAAGUCUUCAGUCUUACGUCUUGUGGUUUCUCUGUAACAUGACAAACUGAGUUUUUUUUUGUCUUAUUAACUUAAAGAGAAAGAAAAAAGAGCGGCAGGUGAAGAAAGACUUUAUGGAUGAUCUUCCACAACAUUAAAUAUACCUUUAAAUGGGGAAAAUUUACAGCGUAGUGUUCAUUAAUAAACGUAAAAAAAAAAGUUGUUGGCAAGUUACUGUAGUAUAACAGGAAUAAAACUCCUCAGGACAUGCUGUUAUAAAUAAUCAUCAUCUGGCGUCAGGACACAUCACUCCCUCUCCUCAUUCAUUAGUUUCCACAGCAUGCCCUGAGGAGUUUUAUUCCUUACAUAUACCUAUUGUUAAUUUUGCAAGUUUUAAAAAAAGGGUUCUUCAAGGCUUCUUUGGAUAUGAAACAUUAUUUUGCUUCAUAUUUGAAUCCUUCCUGGAUGCAAACAACUUGUGUGGAUGUACAAAGAAGGUUCCCCCCAAAAAGGACAAACUAAAAAACUAGAUCAGUUCAGACCUUUUAUUUUAUUUUCUUUUUUUUUUUUAAAAAAAAAAGAGUGGAUCUGCAGUGUCUGCGGGCUGCAGUAGAACAGGGUGCAGGAGCCGUGCUGUGAAAAUCGCACCUUCCAUUCCAUUAGAGCAGAGGCACCGACCCACUGAGAAACAGCGGGUUCAAUUGGUGUCAUUUCACAUUGAUGUUCGUCCGUGUGGUGCAGGGUGAAACUGUGUGGAAGAAAAGUCAAAAAGUACACAAGUGGAUGACCUUCCAAAAAUAUCAUAAAGUGUCAUAACAUCAUUGUUUUAGUUUUCGUCCUCAGCCAAUAUUACAAUAAUGUUCUUUUUUAAAAUGAAGCAAACAACAUAGAAAUGUUAUUCCCCCCUCAAGGGCAAGACGUUUCUCAUAAAAAUCACACAGCAACACAAUAUUCCACAAUACAUAAAACCUGAGAUUAACCAAGUCAGUAUGUAAAUAGUUGACAGUGGAUACACUGGGAAGAUCUGAUUACACCAAAUGAAAGAAGGAACAAAAGAAUAUUUUCUCUAAAUGUCUUAAGAGCUGUUAAAAAAAAAUCUCUUCUCUCUGUCUCAUCUGUCCUCUCCUACCAUUUCUGCCUCGUUCACAGCUUUUUUCUGCAGAUUUCCAAACACCAAACACUCGACAACAGCGUAAAAAAAUGCCCGCUCUGUUCUCAAGGGUCACCUGGUGCAUUCUGCAGCGAGAGGAUGCAGGAUCUCCAGCUCGGUUUCUGCGGUCGCUAUGGAAAUAAGGCUGGGGUUCUAGUGUUGCGUGGCAAGCAGUUUGGCCUGGAAACGUUUGUGAACUUCAGCAGCAGCAGCAGCAGCAUAGAGUUUUGCGCUGGGGAGAGACACUGAUGUAGAUGCAUCCAAAAACGAAAAAAGCUAUGGGUCAUGUAAUUGUAGUGCAGUCAUGAUUAGGAGGAAGAGAAUGAUUGCACAGAAAGGAAAAACACCUGCACGUGUGGGUGAGGGGAGAGAGGGAUCUGGAUAGAUAAAUAGAGUGAGGGAGAGAGAGAGAGAGAUAGAGAGAGGAGGAGGGCAAAAUGUCUGUUUACUUCAUUUUCUCACAAAGACUAUUAGCUAAUAAAGGCAAACUCCCCUGCAUCCGUCCUCCACCUCUCUUUCUCUCUUCCCUCAUUUUCUUUCAUUUUUCUUCUCUUUUCCACUCUCACUUUGCUUUUCUUUUCAAUUUUUUCCCAGCUUUUGCACAAUUUUUUUUUUACCUUUAUUCUUACUUUGUAUUUUUCUCUCUUUUGAUACUUCUGAAUAUCUCAGUUAUUCUGCAUAGCUGUUAGUCACACCUGAUCUCUCUCUCUCUCUCUCUGUACACAGACACACACACACCCACACACACAUACACACAGACACACGUGCGCACUCACUAUCGUUCACCCCUUCCCCCUUCACAGCCGCACUACCAUCACUUGGUUUCAGCCGCAGAAGAGCAGAGAGGUGUCUUUCACACACACACACACACUCACAGAUGCAUGCACACACUCUCACUCUCCCCGUGACCAACUUACAGAAGACACAGGAGCAUGGAGCUGGGAGCACUGCCAGAGAAACACAUGGAGAAAUGCAUGAGCUUGAUGCAGACAGGGACUCAGAUGGUGAAACUGAGAGGUGGUUCAAAGGGCCUGGUGCGGUACUUUUACGUGGACGAGCACAAGUCCUGCAUCCGCUGGAGGCCCUCCAGGAAGAACGAGAGGGCAAAAAUCUCCAUCGACUUGAUUCGGGAGGUGUGUGAGGGGAAGCAGUCUGAGAUCUUCCAGCGCUAUGCAGAUGGCAGCUUCGACCCCAACUGCUGCUUCAGCAUCUACUACGGUGAACAUAUGGAGUCGCUGGACUUGGUAUCAGGUACAGGCGAGGAGGCGCGCACCUGGAUUACUGGUCUUAAGUACCUUAUGGCGGGCAUCAGCGAUGAGGACAGUCUGGCCAAACGCCAACGCACCCGGGACCAGUGGCUGAAGCAGACUUUCACAGAAGCUGACAAGAACGGAGACGGCAGCCUGAGCAUCAGUGAGGUUCUCCAGCUCCUGCAUAAACUCAAUGUCAACUUACCCAGGCAGAAAGUAAAGCAGAUGUUCAAGGAAGCAGACACAGAUGAUAACCAGGGCACUUUGGGCUUUGAGGAGUUCUGCUCCUUUUACAAGAUGAUGUCGACUCGGCGAGACCUAUACCUGCUGAUGCUCACCUACAGCAACCAUAAAGACCACCUGGACACAGACGACCUGACACGCUUCCUUGAAAUUGAGCAAAAGAUGACAAGAGUCACAAAAGAGCAUUGCCUUGAAAUCGUCGCAAAGUUUGAACCUUGUCCUGAAAACCAGAAGCAGGGGGUUCUGGGUAUCGAUGGAUUUACGAAUUACAUGCGAAGUCCAGCUGGAGACAUCUUUAAACCCGAACACCAUGAAGUCAACCAGGACAUGACUCAGCCUCUGUGCAAGUACUUCAUCGCCUCCUCACAUAACACCUACCUGAUGGGGGACCAGCUGAUGUCUCAGUCCAGGGUGGACAUGUACGCAUGGGUCCUGCAAGCAGGCUGCAGAUGUGUGGAAGUGGACUGUUGGGAUGGACAAGAUGGAGAGCCAAUCGUACACCAUGGCUAUACUCUAACAUCCAAAAUCCUUUUUAAGGACGUCAUUGAAACCAUCAACAAAUAUGCAUUUGUCAAGAACCCGUAUCCAGUUAUCUUGUCCAUAGAGAACCACUGCAGUGUUCCCCAGCAGAAGAAGAUGGCUCAGUAUCUGGUGGAAAUCUUGGGGGAGAAGUUGGACUUGUCAUCAAUCAAAGCUGACGAGUCAGGACUCCUGCCCUCACCUGAUUCCCUCAAAGGCAAAAUUCUUGUCAAGGGCAAGAAACUGCCCCCAAACAUUGACGAGAAUGCAGAGGAGGGUGACGUGUCAGAUGAGGACAGCGCUGACGAGAUGGAAGACGACUGCAAGCUGAUGAAUGGAGAUACUUCUGUGAACAGAAAGCAGGUGGAGAACGUUGCAAAGAAAAAGCUGGAUAGCCUGAUGAAGGAGUCGAAGAUCCGUGACCGCGAGGACCCUGACAGCUUCACGAUAGCAGCGCUGCCUCCCUCAGCAAAGCGGGAUGAAAAGACAGCCAUGAAGGGGAAGGGAGACGAGACGACAGACACAGGAGACGAGUCCAGCCCCAGCACUAAUAAACGUCUGGCCAGGUCUUUCAUGGGCAGCUUCUCCAGACGUAAGAAGAAGACAAGCAAACUCAAAAAGACGUCCAGUUUUGAGGACACAGACACGGACCAGGAGAGCUCCAGCAGUGCGUCGAAAGUCCCAGUACAUCACAGCAGAAGGAAGAAAACGAUGAAGUUGUCCAGGGCUCUGUCUGAUUUGGUGAAAUACACAAAGUCUGUGGCCAUGCAGGAUCUUGAGACACAAGGAAGCAGCAGCUGGCUGGUAUCAUCACUAAGCGAGACCAAGGCUCACCAGCUGAUACAGCAGAAGCCAGCCCAGUUUGUGCGCUUUAACCAGCGGCAACUGUCACGAAUUUAUCCCUCAUCCUACCGUGUGGACUCAAGCAACUUCAACCCGCAGCCAUUCUGGAACAUCGGAUGCCACCUGGUGGCACUGAACUACCAGUCUGAGGGCCGAGUCCUUCAGUUGAACAGGGCCAAGUUCUACAGCAAUGGCAACUGUGGCUACGUUCUCAAACCCGAUUGCAUGUGUGAAGCUUCUUUUAAUCCAAUGUUGGAGGACCCAUUGCCAGGACAAAUGAGAAAACAGCUGGUGGUGAAGAUUAUUAGCGGCCAGCAGCUGCCCAAACCCAAAGACUCCAUGCUGGGAGACCGAGGCGAGAUCAUUGACCCUUUUGUGGAAGUGGAGAUCAUUGGCUUGCCAAUAGAUUGCUGUAAGGAGCAAACCAGAGUAGUGGAUGACAAUGGGUUCAACCCCAUGUGGGAGGAGACCCUGGUUUUCACUGUGCACAUGCCAGAAAUCGCACUGGUGCGCUUCCUGGUUUGGGAUCACGACCCCAUUGGCCAGGACUUCAUUGGCCAGAGGACCAUUGCCUUUAAUAGCAUGAUGCCAGGUUACCGCCAUGUGUAUUUAGAAGGGAUGGAGGAGGCGUCCAUUUUUGUUCAUGUGGCUGUGAAUGACAUCACUGGUAAGGCACGGCCAGCCAGCGGCAUAAAAGGGCUGUUUCACAGAAAUCCAAAGCAGGCUUCUCUGGACAGCCAUGCUGCUGCGCUGCACAGCCGUAAGCCCGCUUUUGGAGCCCAUCUGCUUCGCCGCACGGCCAGCGCGCCCACCAAGGGCCAGCCCAAAGUUAAACGUGGCUUCCCUGAGAUCUCCAUUGACACCAAAGACUGUAGCUCAGAGGGAGCCAGCUCAGAGCGUGAGUCUGAGGAGGGCCCAGUUGCCCAUCCCAACGGGGACACGGCAGCAUCAGCGCGACCGUGGGAGCACGGCACCAACGGGCAGCUCCACCCGGAUGAUGGUACAGAUCAUUCCACAGUGCAGAGACCCAUUCCUUAUCUGCAUGUCCUGGAAUCCAUUGCAGAAGAAUAUCAGCAGAAAUCCUCUUCGACAUCCAUGUGCAGUCCAACCCAUACCUCAGAACAUCCCCCCAGUCAUGUGCUUUGUUUGUCUCCACCAUCCACAGCAAUAACGACUUGUAAGAAAGACAACCAUAGCCCUGUAAAAACAAAUGAGGACAAACUACCUGUUCCUACUCAUUGUCCCAUCCCAAAUGACAGUAGUGGGGGGGAUCAUUUCAAUACUUCUCUGUCCAUGAAUUACCUUGACAUUGGGAGCAAUAAGCCCCUUUCACCAGAGCAGGCAGUAGGUGAAGAGAUGAGUUUUCGUGGAAAUGUUUUACCGGAUGCAAAUGUUAAGAUUGGACAAACUUUAGAGACAGAGACUGCACCUGAGCUGACCACAAUUAAGAGCUCCCAGAAGGUUCAGGCUAAAAAAACUUUAAUUGACAAGGACAUAGAGCGAGGUUUGUAUCCUGGGCCUAGGACUCCAGUUCGAAGGACUAAAAGUGAUGGCCAGGUGCAGGCAGUAUGUCCUGUUGAUGAGCAGUCAGCAGUGCCUCAGGUGUCCAUCGAUGCAACCAUCAAUGACCGCCUCUGGUCCAAGCUUGACCCAAGCACCCACCGUGACAGCGUGUCAUCCUCGUCCAGCAUUUCCUCAAAUGACACUGUGAUUGACCUCUCCCUGCCCAACUUGGCCAGGAAGAGUCUGACCUGCCUCCGAACUGCUCGGGACUGUCAUGAUAGCCAGGAUUCAAUGGCCACCUGGAGUUGCGCAUCUCGGUCAUCAACUACUUCUAGCACACUUUGUGUGAGCAAGAGCAAAUCCAAUCCCAACUUGCGGGAUGGUCAGAUAUGUGAGCCAAUGGACGAGCUUCUUCCAAGGCAGCUGGGGAGUGAGCAUGACAACAAACGGCUUAUGCAGCGGCGUCACACCUGGAGCAGGCUGUACAUAGAGGGCUUAAAGCAGUCAUCAUCUGCUUCUAGUAAGAGAGCCCCAACUCCUACACCAAAAGACAUAAACGGUGGCUCCAAGUCUAAGAGUCUGGGUGACCUCACAUCAGAGGACAUUGUGUGCAAUUUUGAUAGCAAAUAUCGCAGCAUCAGCCGUAGUUUUGUGGUCAGGCCUAGCCGCCAGCAGAGGUCCCCAAAGAAGUCCCAGGAUGACCUGAUGGAGCGGCUAAAGAAACUCACUGAUGUAGAACCACUGGCGAGCAGUGAUUUUACAUCCCACCUGCAUGACUCAGAGGCUGAGGAGAAGGAGGAGCAGGAGGAGGCACCACCACUGAGGAGGAGCUCAUCACGCAGCCAGAGCCGGGUGCGCUAUAUUGCCAACCGCGCUAGGCAGGCCCAGGAGAGGCAGCGGCUGCAAAGCCUCCUCAGGGGAUCCAACAGCCCCAUUGAGGAGCGUGGAAUCCCAGAGGGUGCCUGCAGCAUCACACGCAGCCCCUGUGCCAGCCUGGACUUGCUGAGCCAGCUUCCUCCGGGACCACCCCAGCAGAGCCCUCGUAGCCCAGAUAGUGAGCUCUUUUUUAUGCUCCGCCUCUGAUGGAGCAAGGGUGUACUGAAGGUCUGCAUGCAAGCAGCACACACCACGUUUCUGUUAGUUCAACUACUGAAUGAGACACUACUAACAUCUGAUAUGAAGUCUGUUUCCUGCACUACUGUUGGUGUAGGUGGAUGAUUUGUUACCAAACAAACCCAACAAAGAGCAUGAAAUGUGGUAGAUUCUAAAGGUUCUACACCUAUAGAGAUGGAUACUACAGUUUUUAUAAUAUGUGUAUUGUAAUAGAAAAUUUCCAAUUUCCACACUAAAAAUCUUGUCAGUUUAUUGUCCUAAAUGCACUCAUUACUUUUAAACACUGGAAUGUCAUACACAAGUCAAACAUUCUCAAACUGAUAUCGGUCUUGAAUUUUGUUAUUUUUAGUUAAACGGCCUGCUGUAGCAAUAGAGGAUUACAUGUUGAACUGUAUGAAAUAUUACUUCUCUCACUUUAAAUUGAAUGAUAUGUUUACUGUACUUAUUGAAUUACCAAUGCAUCUUGUUGGUGUUUAUAGUGGUGAAUUUUUUUUUUUACAACAAAUGCAUGGAACGUAUUUGCAGAAGUAAUUUAUUGUUUCUCAGAAUAAAGAAUAACAGAAAUGUUUUUUUUCUUUUGUGCUCCUUGUUCAAAUUCUUUGCAUUAGGCAAAACAAUAACUGCCUUUCUCCAUACUUUUAGCUUUUUUUAAAUUAUUAUAAAUUUUUUAGUUUAUAUGACACAGGGCAAUUUUUGCCAUUUGGUUUAAUCUUUUGAUAUUUCAGUUUAUGUACUGUAUAAAGUAUUAUCAGAAGAUUCAUACAGAAGUAGGCUCUUUUUUGCAUGUCAGUGAUAUAUUGUAAUCUUUUUUAUAAUCAUUUAAGGUUUUACAAGGUUUUCCGCCACUCAGCAUGUGCACUGGUCCAUAAUACCUAUCAGUCAGUGUUUAAGAAUUAAGGAAUUAUGUUGAAUAUGAGUACACUGAUACAGUUGUUCAGUGGCACAUAAUAGGAUGAUGAAAGAGCACAUCUCUCACAUUGUACUGUAAUGUUUGCACUGUUGUGUCAGAUAAAUUUGCAAGAGUCUGGGAGAAUUUUUAGUAAAAUCGUGUACAGUACAUACAGAUUGUGGGUGUCUGUUUUUUCUCCUUUCUUACCUUCAUAAACUGUUGAGACAAACCUGGUCUGAGGUUCACUGUCCUAUGUAAAUAUUAAAUGCAAAGUUGACUGUUUUUUUCUCAUAAAAUUUCAUGAAUCCUCCAGGACUCUUCAGACCUGUCAGAAAACUUGUUAAAAAUUCCCUUACAGCUGAUGACUUCAGCACUAUUAUCAGUCAAUCAGUUUUUCAGUGUUCCCAUUUUUGAAUUCUAACUUUAAAUACAAUUCAUAAUACAUUUCCUUUUAUUUGUUAUGCUUACUGUUGCCAGGUGAUUACUAAAUAUAUACUUCAUUAUGUUCUUCUCUUACUGUUUUGCUGGUUGAUUUGACAAAAAGGUCAGAAACUCCCAUCCAGGAAGUGUCACCCUCUCAGCGCCAUUAUGUACUCUUUUAAGUGGCCUCCUUUUUCUCCACGCUCACACUGCUCAACCUUUCCAAUAUUUCACAAGCGCUCCCAUUGCGAAAAAAUGUCUCUUGCUCCGCACUUGGUGGCUGAUCACAUCUCCAACCCAAAUGGAAAUAAAAGUUACUCUGUUCCCUCUUUUCAGCUUUCCAGCUGAUGGUUUUGACCCAAAGUGCCCACUGUCAUGCCCCGUGUUGUUGUGAGUAUUAGCUCAUUGGUUUGUAUCCUUUGCCUCUUCAUGCAUGAUGCCCAUAAAAUCCUGAAGGAUUCGUCUCCGCUUAUGAUUGACACUUAAGACAAAAGCACAGGAAUGCCUGGGUCUGCAGUUGCUUUGGUGAUGGUUUCUAGUGGGACGUGAGAGGCCGGGGCCCUUCUGCGCUCCCAAAAACCGCCCUGGGACUCACACAGCUCAGUGAGUGACAGAGAUUGUACACUCUUGUCACUCAUACAAAAGUCCGGUUCUUUAGCAUUCAGGAGGUGCUGCAACUCUGGCCUUUGGAUUCGUAUUUAUCACAGCGAUUUUUGUUUCUGCCUCCAGGGUCUAUCACGGAGCCAAUUUAACUCGCUUUUAAGCAGAGUUGUUAUAGGGGUUUAAGACUUCUGGAUGCUUUUAGAUUUGGCAGGGUCUCUUGUAAAAUGUUUUAAAUUUAGAUUAUGUCCUAUACUUGGGUCCAACAAAAAUAUACCAUCCCUGUUCCUGGCCCAAUAUAAACAGGAGCUUAGCAAUUCAUUUCUCUAAGAGCAAGGAACCUAUAUAUUCUAACAGCACUAAGAAAAAAAUAGUAGCACUAUUUAAGUAUGGUAUACUACAGCCAAAAUCCUACAAUCUUAUUAGUUAUUAAUCUUAUGAAUCUAACUAGAUGGAAAAUACCUUCUGCCUUUGUAGCAAAAUUCAUAUUAUGUGUCAACAUCUUGAUUUUUCUAAAUCUUUUGAUACCCCUAGUUCUUAUUUUGAUAAUGUUCUUCAUAUGUUGAGUCUUAAACAUUCUUAUAUAAACAUUCUCAUAAGAGGUUUUCCUUGGAAUCCAGCUUCUUACUCCUCCAUGUCCCACCUCCCCUACUCGUAAAUCAUUGCUGUGGUCUCAGUCCCUCACCCCUUUUCCUCCACUUUCUAGAACAGCCCACUCUUACCCAUUGGCUAAUAUCUGACCUUGGGGUACUUGUUCAUGCUUUAUAUUUUGGGAUCUUUGAUGCACUGGACAUUGAGAGAAGCUGGUUAUAAAGCAAGUUCAGAAGACAGUACCAUGGCGUCUCUGGGGCUUCUCUUGCUCGUUGCAGCAGUGGUUCACCUCUGCACUGCAGAACCACAGCCACUAAAGGUGACCACCAUUAAG
Pangasianodon hypophthalmus (striped catfish) is the source of this 24620-nucleotide RNA transcript. It is a transcript of the gene named phospholipase C, eta 2a, with no coding region annotated. The transcript has 24 exons. Lineage: Eukaryota; Metazoa; Chordata; Actinopteri; Siluriformes; Pangasiidae. The record is from RefSeq and is a predicted model, not a curated record.